Gallus gallus (chicken) is the source of this 886-nucleotide long non-coding RNA. The record is from Ensembl. Lineage: Eukaryota; Metazoa; Chordata; Aves; Galliformes; Phasianidae.
GUUCAGUUCACUAGUUUCCUCAUCUCCCAUCCCAUUUUGCAUUUUCAUCCAGAUCAGCCCUCCCAAGUGUUGGAUGCUUGCAAAGGAGAAGAAACAAGGCAAAGGAACUCCGGUGGUUUUGUGUGCUGCUCUCUCAUGCCUUGUUGAAGAGUAGGAGUGGCUGGAUAACAUGUGAAGAAGCACUCUAGUUUACCGCAGGCCAAAGUGAAAAAACUUGCUGCAAAUGAUUUGUUUCUUCGUCUCUGUGCUCAUUUGGGAGAAUGGAGCAGAUACUGACAGCAGGGUGUUCUGGGAAGGAGCAGAGAUGGCAACUAUGUGCCCUGAACUUCUGUGAGGGUAUUUCCGAGGUCAUCAGCGGUCCCAUGGGGGAAAUGAGUCAGCAAAAGCCAGCUUAUCAUCAGCGCGUUCACUGAUCGGCCUUCUCCACUGAGUGCCCUCAGGAGUGAUGUCCUUCCUUUGAUCCCUCACAAUGUCACCUCGGAGCGAGGAACCGCAGUUGCACUGUAGGUCCUUUUUUGUUAAUUGCGCUGCCAUUUCCUUCUGGCAAUGAGCUGCAGAUCUCAGCGACCGCUGCGAGGAGCACCGCGUUAUCCCGAGCAGCUCUGAGUCACCGCGCAGCCACGGCCGUGUCACAGAGCCGAGAACCGCUGCCAGCGGAGAGGGACCCUUCUCACCUCCCACCGCUAUCAAAUGUCACCCACCCAUCUAUCUCAGCGUCCCUCAUUAUGAAGCUCAUCACUCAUUUCAGAAUGGGCGUUCCACGCAGAACGCCGCAUCCUCUCACUUUAUUAACAGCCAGCAGGGCUGACAUUGCACUUCGCGGGCACCGCUGCAGCGUCAGGGCGCGCACAGCCCCGCCUCGCCUGUAAGCCGCCGCCGCCUCAGG